GACGAACGCUGGCGGCGUGCUUAACACAUGCAAGUCGAACGGAAAGGCCCUGCUUUUGUGGGGCGCUCGAGUGGCGAACGGGUGAGUAACACGUGAGUAACCUGCCCUUGACUUUGGGAUAACUUCAGGAAACUGGGGCUAAUACCGGAUAGGAGCUCCUGCUGCAUGGUGGGGGUUGGAAAGUUUCGGCGGUUGGGGAUGGACUCGCGGCUUAUCAGCUUGUUGGUGGGGUAGUGGCUUACCAAGGCUUUGACGGGUAGCCGGCCUGAGAGGGUGACCGGCCACAUUGGGACUGAGAUACGGCCCAGACUCCUACGGGAGGCAGCAGUGGGGAAUAUUGCACAAUGGGCGGAAGCCUGAUGCAGCAACGCCGCGUGCGGGAUGACGGCCUUCGGGUUGUAAACCGCUUUCGCCUGUGACGAAGCGUGAGUGACGGUAAUGGGUAAAGAAGCACCGGCUAACUACGUA
Molecule: ribosomal RNA, 468 nt
Filed under: uncultured bacterium
Lineage: Bacteria
Description: partial 16S ribosomal RNA
Rfam family: Bacterial small subunit ribosomal RNA
Source: RNAcentral